RNAcentral lists this ribosomal RNA (846 nucleotides) under uncultured bacterium. RNAcentral describes it as "bacterial SSU rRNA". It matches the Rfam family "Bacterial small subunit ribosomal RNA", at positions 58 to 917 of the family's 1533-position model. The record is from RNAcentral.
CAAGUCGAGCGAUGAAGUUUCUUCGGAAAUGGAUUAGCGGCGAACGGGUGAGGAACACGUGAAGAAUCUGCCCUCCACUUUGGGAUAACACCGGGAAACCGGUGCUAAUACCGAAUAUUGAAACAUAAGUGGCAUCACUGAGUUUUGAAAGAAUUUCGGUGGAGGAUGACUUCGCGGCCUAUCAGCUAGUUGGUGAGGUAAUGGCUCACCAAGGCAACGACGGGUAGCCGGCCUGAGAGGGCGACCGGCCACACUGGGACUGAGACACGGCCCAGACUCCUACGGGAGGCAGCAGUGGGGAAUAUUGGGCAAUGGAGGAAACUCUGACCCAGCGACGCCGCGUGCAGGAUGAAGGCCUUCGGGUUGUAAACCGCUUUCAGUAGGGAAGAAGCGAAAGUGACGGUACCUACAAAAGAAGCACCGGCUAACUAUGUGCCAGCAGCCGCGGUAAUACAUAGGGUGCAAGCGUUGUCCGGAAUUAUUGGGCGUAAAGAGCUCGUAGGUCGUUUGUUACGUCGGAUGUGAAAACCUGAGGCUCAACCUCAGGCCUGCAUUCGAUACGGGCAAACUAGAGUUUGGUAGGGGAGACUGGAAUUCCUGGUGUAGCGGUGGAAUGCGCAGAUAUCAGGAGGAACACCAAUGGCGAAGGCAGGUCUCUGGGCCAAUACUGACACUGAGGAGCGAAAGUCUGGGGAGCGAACAGGAUUAGAUACCCUGGUAGUCCAGACCGUAAACGGUGGGCACUAGUUGUGGGAACCUUCCACGGUUUCUGCGACGCAGCUAACGCAUUAAGUGCCCCGCCUGGGGAGUACGAUCGCAAGAUUAAAACUCAAAGGAAUUGACGGG